GUGAGGGUACUGUAAGUUACACAGUUUGGCAGAUUUUUUAGUGGGCACCCGUAGGUAUCUGCCAUGCCUGGGUGGGGGAUGGCGGCACUUCUCUCCGGACACCAUGAUUUGCCCGAAUGAAAAUGCCACCCACGGCCUAGGUUUUGAACCGCCGUCGGUGCGGUCUAUUUCCACAUGUCCGUUACGGGUACGGGACGGGUCCGGGCCGACCAGGCCGGCAAAAAUAAAAAUGAUCGUUGACAUUUGUUUAAAUGCACAUGGACGGAACGGGCCCGGUCCGGGAUCGCCGGGUGGUGUCCGGGAAAAAAAUGUCUGUCAACCACUCCGUCCCCCAAACUUUAUAUCAUAUAUAUAUAAGUAUCCUUAAUUAAAUUUCACGGAAAAUUGAAAUAAGUUAUUUUCGUAUAUCAUAUUAUUUUUGUGUUUAAGGUCAAUCAGUUUAGGGACCGUAACCUAAAUAUCAUGUUAGGUAAAUAUAUAGAAUAUAGGUAGGAUUAGAAUUAAACUUAAUUUAAAUUUCAAUAAAAGUCUAUUUUGAAUAGGUAUGGAUUGUUGAUAAGUGAUGAUAGCAUUGAUUGUAAAAUGUGUAGAACCUUUGAAAUUUAUACUUAUUCUUAAAACAAUUGAGCGUAACAUUUUUCUUAAAAUCAUUUAACAAUAAUAUUAAGUUAAUGCUUAAUAAUUUUGAAAAAAAAAUAAUCAAGACAUUAAGUUUAUGAACGGAAAAUCCAGGCAAAUAAUAUAGUUUAUAAAAUAUACGCCAAGUCACAUAUUAUUCACAUCCGGUUUGACACAAAACGUGUAAUUUUUUACAGGUAUUGACACGGUAAAAAAAAAAAUAAAACUGAAGUGAGGUACAAGGGGUACGAGGGGUACCUAUAUCAUGAUGUCACUACCAAAUACUGCGACAAUCGAUCAGAACUAAUGGCAUCCACAUACAUGAAUAAUUAUUAUGGAUUAAAAUGUUAGACAUUUGAGGAAUAAUAACAGUUACACUCUGAUGAGUUUUAACGCAUUUAAUAAUAUUUAAGUGUGUUUUUUUUUCAAACCGAUAUUGGAUGUUGUUAAUUUUGAAUACUAUACUAGGACAAACGCUGUUUAAAUAAUAGCAACUAUUAAUUUACAGGGUAUAUAAUAUUGCUGUCCAUCGGCGCUUUUCGAUUGUUUUUUCUCCGACGGCACGUCGUAAAUACCACACAGCUGCAGCAGUAUAAUACAUAUAAACGAGAAACAGCUGAAUACAUUAGUCGCGGGUAUGGUCAGUAUGUUAGGUGUACACUUGAAAUACAACCUGUAGUCGGUGAUAUAAUGACGACGUGUCGAAAUUUACAGAAACAGAAAAUCAAAAACUAUCGCUUCAGAUCAGUGAUGUGACGUGUCGUGCAUUUUGAGCAGCGAGCUGACCGGCCUGAAAAGAACUUCUGAAAAAAAAGAACAUUCAUAACGAUAAUAUUAUAUUAUUAUAACCAUUUUUGAGGUGCGAGACCGAAUAAAAUCUCUUCACUGGUGGAAUUUCGCGGAAUGAAGUCUCUCUGUGAGUAAGACAAAUGGAAAUGAUACCCACCCUAUUUGUCGCCGCCAGCAAUGUGUUAUCAGGCGUGAAAACGAUUUUAAAGGAUUUCUCCUUCCGAUCUCCCUCCCUCCCUCCCCGUUCGUUUCCCACCCACCUCCAACAUCACACGCACACACACUCGCACGCUUACGCACAAGAAACCGAAGAAAGCUGUUUCAGGUCGCUAAACAUCGAGUGUAUACGGCGGAGAACUCCGGUGAGAGUAGUCCACUGGACGUGACAGCAAACGGACCAUUAAUUAUCGUCAACAUGUCUCUUUUAAAAAAAGAUUUUAUCGGAAUACCAGUUUUCUAGUAUUUUAUUUUUUAUUUUUUAUAUAAGCCGGUAAACAUAUUAUAAUUCCACACUUAUUAGUUGUCCAUUGCUUUGACGUUAAUUAUUUUUCACGAGCUCAACGCAUUUAAAGCAUAUAAUAUUAUGUAUUCUAAAUGCCAGCACUACUUUAAAUAACAACAAUAAUAAUAACGGAUGAACAUUAAAUGAUAAUAAUAAUAAUACACCCACGGCCCCGAAAGGUUUAUGACGAUUGUGUACAAUUCUUCGAAAUGACUACUGAAAUAGAAAGAACCGACAAAAUAUAUCGAUCAAGAGUCGAGACGAACGCAGAUAAUCGACUAAACAAUGUCGUUUCGAGAUACGCAGCAUAUAAUAUAAAAAACAAAACAUGUAUGGUCAUAUUAUUAUAUAAUAUUAUUAUAUUAUAGCUACCGAUGGUCAUCGGCGGUACUGAAACGUUAUUAUAGUGAAUUGUUGUUGAAACUCGAAACCAAACGGAUAAGGAGUAUAAGGAUAAGGAUGUGCCUAGAAACAUAAAUUCCGGAUAUAUGUAUAUAUAAGAGAGAUUAAAAAAUAAAAUCAUGUUAUGUUGUUAUUAUUAUGUUAUAUUGUUGAACUCCAGGUUAUGUUAUAUUUAUUAAAAUAUUCAAGUAGAUAAAUACGAUAAAAAUUGUUAAUGUAAAUUUAAAUUCCGUAUGCUAUUAAAAAUUGUAUUUAUAUACUUUCUUUUCUCAUAAAAUCAAUUAUUUAAUUAUGAAUAAAAAACCA
Long non-coding RNA from Metopolophium dirhodum (rose-grain aphid), 2617 nucleotides. RefSeq lists it as uncharacterized. Lineage: Eukaryota; Metazoa; Arthropoda; Insecta; Hemiptera; Aphididae. The record is from RefSeq and is a predicted model, not a curated record. The transcript has 3 exons.